GAUGAACGCUGGCGGCGUGCUUAACACAUGCAAGUCGAACGAAGCACCUUGAUUUGAUUCUUCGGAUGAAGAUCUUGGUGACUGAGUGGCGGACGGGUGAGUAACGCGUGGGUAACCUGCCCAUCAGAAGGGGAUAACACUUGGAAACAGGUGCCAAUACCGUAUAACAAUCGAAACCGCAUGGUUUUGAUUUGAAAGGCGCUUUCGGGUGUCGCUGAUGGAUGGACCCGCGGUGCAUUAGCUAGUUGGUGAGGUAACGGCUCACCAAGGCGACGAUGCAUAGCCGACCUGAGAGGGUGAUCGGCCACAUUGGGACUGAGACACGGCCCAA
Molecule: ribosomal RNA, 331 nt
Filed under: uncultured bacterium
Lineage: Bacteria
Description: bacterial SSU rRNA
Rfam family: Bacterial small subunit ribosomal RNA
Source: RNAcentral